CGCUUGAUGAUGAAGAUGAUGAUGUCAUCCACAUGGGAAAUGCCAUAAUGACCUUUUACUCUGCUCUCAUUGAUCUUUUGGGUCAUUGCGCCCCUGAGAUACAUCUCAUAGAAGCAGGGAAGUGAGGCCAUCCGGAUCAGGGCAAUCUUAAGGUCUCUCGUCCCCAGAGAGGAUCUGGAGGGAAUCAUCAAUAUUCCUUUUACCAAUUGUAAACACAGGUUUAAAAAUAACUGCACAUUCAAUCUGGUGUUGAAGGCUAUGGCAGAGCAGUUGGCUGAGAAUUAUCAUCACAUCUGGACAGCCAGGAAACUGCAGGAACUGGAGAGUAAAGGAGGGGGCAGUCACCCUCUGCUUGUUCCAUAUGAUGCUCUGAGUGUUAAAGACAAGGGUCGAGUCAGAGCCAAAUGUUUUCAAGUUCUUCC
Molecule: long non-coding RNA, 422 nt
Organism: Carassius carassius (crucian carp)
Lineage: Eukaryota; Metazoa; Chordata; Actinopteri; Cypriniformes; Cyprinidae
Exons: 4
Source: RefSeq, a predicted model, not a curated record